CGGUGCUGUCGAUGACAGGAUGUUCAGUGCGUGUUAGUUCCGUCCGUGUCUUCGAGGCAUGUAGUCGACUGUGGAAAUACAGGAAUUAUUUGAACAUUUAGUUUGCACAGUUCUGUCAAUAGAUUUUUCCUAGCUAAUCACCGGUUAUCUUUCCUUUGUUGUGUCUGGCGAGAUAAUCGAUUGGAAAAGAUAGCGGUCUGGUAUCCGGCACACAUUUACUGCGCGCUCGCCAUGGGGGAAGAAAAAUAUGAAUAAAAAGUAAAAAGAAAAGCUUAGACCAUCGAUUACCAUUUGACUGGCGAAUGUAAACAAACGCGUGGCCGCCAACUUCAAAUUGUUGAGACCGCAGAUCUAGUAAAUAUUCGAAAUGUGGAAUUCCAAAGCAAUUUACUCCUGGAGAAAAUGAGAAAGGAAGGGGUGCUUUUGAACACCAAGCAUCCAUUUUACCACAAAAAUCUUUAAACGGACCCUGUUUGACAAGAUAUACUCAAGAGUUGAUGUCGAAGUAUCCACAGCUUCCUGGACUGACGACAGGUGAUGUAAUGUACAAGUUCCAGUGUCAGAAAAUACUGCGGAAAAGGAACAGUAUCAAAAAAUGCUGCGGAAAUAUAAAAAUACUCCGAGUGGUUCAGGGGCUCAAGUUUCUUACACCAUGAUGACUUAGAUCUACUCCUUCCCCUCAACCUGUUAUAACCGAAGGAGUCAUUGUGGGAACAUCUGUAGCUACUACUAGCUAUGCUGGAAACCCAUCAGUGAAAGAAAGAAAGAGGAAAAUGAGCAGUGAUCCACUUGAUGAGAUGAUGACAAAGGCCACUCGCAAAAUGGAACAGACAUGGACUGAACACUCAAGGCUGCCAAUCCGCUACUGAGGCAGUAAUGAAUCACCUUGCUUCUGAUGACUUGAAGAUGAAGUUAUCUUUUUCAUUUAUGGAACUUGUCACUAGAACACAAAAUAGCCUAGAAAUGUAGCGACAAGUACUUUAUUCAUUCAGUGAGUUUAGGGUACAUAUAUAUACUAUUGUUAUAUAUUUCCUAUGGACAAUACUUUAGAUUGUCAUUCUAUUUUCCAAAA
This is a long non-coding RNA of Penaeus indicus, 1072 nucleotides long. RefSeq lists it as uncharacterized. The transcript is spliced from 4 exons. Lineage: Eukaryota; Metazoa; Arthropoda; Malacostraca; Decapoda; Penaeidae. The record is from RefSeq and is a predicted model, not a curated record.